RNAcentral lists this ribosomal RNA (253 nucleotides) under uncultured bacterium. RNAcentral describes it as "partial 16S ribosomal RNA". It matches the Rfam family "Bacterial small subunit ribosomal RNA", at positions 524 to 776 of the family's 1533-position model. The record is from RNAcentral.
UACAGAGGUGGCAAGCGUUGUUCGGAUUUACUGGGCGUAAAGGGCGCGUAGGCGGGAUGGCAAGUCGGUCGUGAAAUCCCUCGGCUCAACCGAGGAGCGUCGGCCGAUACUGCCGUUCUUGAGGGAUGCAGAGGAGACUGGAAUUCAUGGUGUAGCAGUGAAAUGCGUAGAUAUCAUGAGGAAGACCAGUGGCGAAGGCGGAUCUCUGGACAGUUCCUGACACUGAGGCACGAAGGCCAGGGGAGCAAACGGG